Molecule: ribosomal RNA, 600 nt
Filed under: uncultured bacterium
Lineage: Bacteria
Description: bacterial SSU rRNA
Rfam family: Bacterial small subunit ribosomal RNA
Source: RNAcentral
UGGCGAGACUGUAACUGACGCUAAAGCUCGAAAGUGCGGGUAUCGAACAGGAUUAGAUACCCUGGUAGUCCGCACGGUAAACGAUGGAUGCCCGCUGUUUGCGAUAUACAGUAAGCGGCCAAGCGAAAGCGUUAAGCAUCCCACCUGGGGAGUACGCCGGCAACGGUGAAACUCAAAGGAAUUGACGGGGGCCCGCACAAGCGGAGGAACAUGUGGUUUAAUUCGAUGAUACGCGAGGAACCUUACCCGGGCUUGAACUGCCAGCGAACGAUACAGAGAUGUUGAGGCCCUUCGGGGCGCUGGUGGAGGUGCUGCACGGUUGUCGUCAGCUCGUGCCGUGAGGUGUCGGCUUAAGUGCCAUAACGAGCGCAACCCCUUUCGCCAGUUGCCAUCAGGUGAUGCUGGGCACUCUGGCGACACUGCCGCCGCAAGGUGUGAGGAAGGUGGGGAUGACGUCAAAUCAGCACGGCCCUUACGUCCGGGGCUACACACGUGUUACAAUGGGGCAUACAGAAGGCCGGUCUGCGGCAACGCGGAUCCAAUCUUUAAAGUGCCUCGUAGUUCGGAUUGGGGUCUGCAACCCGACCCCAUGAAGCUGGA